CACUAGGUUAUGUUACUGUGCUCCACUAGGUUAUGUUACAGUGCUCCACUAGGUUAUGUUACUGUGCUCCACUAGGUUAUGUUACAGUGCUCCACUAGGUUAUGUUACUGUGCUCCACUAGGUUAUGUUACAGUGCUCCACUAGGUUAUGUUACUGUGCUCCACUAGGUUAUGUUACAGUGCUCCACUAGGUUAUGUUACAGUGCUCCACUAGGUUAUGUUACAGUGCUCCACUAGGUUAUGUUACAGUGCUCCACUAGGUUAUGUUACAGGUCUCCACUAGGUUGUGUUACAGGUAUCCACUAGGUUAUGUUACAGUGCUCCACUAGGUUAUGUUACAGUGCUCCACUAGGUUAUGUUACAGGUCUCCACUAGGUUAUGUUACAGGUAUCCACUAGGUUGUGUUACAGGUAUCCACUAGGUUGUGUUACAGGUCUCCACUAGGUUAUGUUACAGUGCUCCACUAGGUUAUGUUACAGUGCUCCACUAGGUUAUGUUACAGUGCUCCACUAGGUUAUGUUACAGGUAUCCACUAGGUUAUGUUACAGGUCUCCACUAGGUUAUGUUACAGGUCUCCACCAGGUUAUGUUACAGGUCUCCACUAGGUUAUGUUACUGUGCUCCACUAGGUUAUGUUACAGGUCUCCACUAGGUUAUGUUACACGUGUACACUAGGUUAUGUUACACGUCUCCACUAGGUUAUGUUUCUGUGCUCCACUAGGUUAUGUUACACGUCUCCACUAGGUUAUGUUACAGUGCUCCACUAGGUUAUGUACACGUCUCCACUAGGUUAUGUUACAGGUAUCCACUAGGUUAUGUUACACAUCUCCACUAGGUUAUGUUACAGGUCUCCACUAGGUUAUGUUACAGGUCUCCACUAGGUUAUGUUACUGGUCUCCACUAGGUCAUGUUACAGGUCUCCACUAGGUCAUGUUACAGGUCUCCACUAGGUUAUGUUACAGGUCUCCACUAGGUUAUGUUACAUGUCUCCACUAGGUCAUGUUACAGGUCUCCACUAGGUCAUGUUACAGGUCUCCACUAGGUUAUCUUACAGGUCUCCACUAGGUUAUGUUACAGGUCUACACUAGGUUAUGUUACAGGUCUCCGGACAUCAGUUAUUUGUGUCUUUAGAUUAGAACACAGGUCAUGUGGUAUUCUCUGCAGAAUGUGUCGAUAUUAGUUGAGUGCUCUUUGUGUGUGUGUGUCCCGCUCUCUGUGUGUUUUCCCUCCCGU
Molecule: long non-coding RNA, 1231 nt
Filed under: Salmo trutta (river trout)
Lineage: Eukaryota; Metazoa; Chordata; Actinopteri; Salmoniformes; Salmonidae
Description: lncRNA (ENSSTUG00000002999.1)
Source: RNAcentral